RNAcentral lists this long non-coding RNA (1978 nucleotides) under Sus scrofa (pig). RNAcentral describes it as "lncRNA (ENSSSCG00050074093.1)". Lineage: Eukaryota; Metazoa; Chordata; Mammalia; Artiodactyla; Suidae. The record is from RNAcentral.
AGUCGUGCCCCGUCCUUUGGCGCUGGAAAUGGCGGAGGGCUCCCUCUGGCUUCUGAGGAUUGUCCAGCGCCCCUCCGAGGUCCUGGAGAAGCCAGGAGCGCUGCCUACAACUCGGCCUUGACUUCCCCGCAGCCUUGGUCGCCGCAGCAUUGGGUCAGAGGCAUCCCUGGAGAUUGCAGAAAGUUAGCGGCGGCCCCUGUUGACGCAGCGAGUGACGGCCCGACAUACCCUGAUAGGCCACGGGGAGGGCCAGACGCAGAGCCUUGAAAGAAGGAGCUUGCGCUCUGGAAGGGGCGUGGCCAGCGCUCUUCCUCGAGGGCGGGGCUCUAGGGGAAGGGGCUCUUCUCUGGGAUAUUGUGCCACAAGCGAGGACACCCGUGCACCUAGCCCAGGGCCUGUGUCCUGGCGUCAGCGCAUCUGUGGGCAGCAACUUUACCCUCCCCAGACCUCAGUUUCUGCACCUGUAAGACGGAGGCUCUUCCACAACUGCAAAAAUCGGAGUUUCAUCCAGCAUUCUCAGAAUUCCUGUCUCCAGGCAGGCACUGAGGAAUCAGAGCUGCGUUCCUGUGGAGGUUGGAGACCAGCCCCUUCCUGGUGGAACAGGCACCCUGUAGCCUGGGAUGUGACAGUCAUAUGACAGGGCCUGUAACAAGUAACAGUGGUAGCCCAAAUAUGUCGAGCACUUACUAUAUGCCUGGCUUUUCAUGAAGUCUGUCGCAUACGUUAUUUACACCCCCACCCGCACAGCCGUGUCUGGUGGUCCUGUUCUUGACAUCCUGUUUACUGAUGAGCCCAGAGUCACACAAUAGUAGCCAGUCCAAGGUCACCCAGCUAAUAAAUGGCUGAAGCAGUAGUCCACAGUCUCAUCCACUGUUCCGUACCAAAAAAAAAAAAUGUUUAACCUGGAAGGGAGAUGGCAGAGGGGGAAAAUUACAAGAUCCUACCAGUGUUAAUCUAUACCACGAGUUGAGCCCUUAGUAUGUGUUGGAAGCUGGCCUACAGAUCAGCACCAUUUAUACUCCUGACAGUGACCUUAUACUAUAGGGUUGUUAUUUCCACUUCUGAGAGGUCAUCUCAUAUGUCUCUGGUCACACUGCUAGUACAAAACUGGAACUUUGAGUUUAAUGGAUGGUACACUCAGCCUGCCUGUAUAUCACUCUUAGGAAGACCCCACUCUUCUCUGAGCCUGUUUCCCGUUCUGCACAAUGAGAGGUUUGGACCAGAAGGCUCUGGACAUUGUUUCCUGAGCUCACAUUCUUUGAUUUUAGGAGCAUUGACAUGAUGUCCAGAGUCCUGGGUUUGUUCCUAAUUAUCUAUGACUUGGGAACGCCUCGGCCUAAUCCCUUGCAUCUCUGGGCCUCAGUUUCCCCCUUUGUAAAAUGUGGAGAUGAGAAAGUCUCAAUCACCAAGGGACCUUCUGGCUUUAAUAUUUUAUGACUGCAAAUGAAGAGACAAGCUGAGGUUCAGCAAAUUGUGCAUCCUCUGAGAAAUUCUAAUGAAUGUGAUUCUGCCACCUUGCUCAAAACAUUCCUGGUGCAAGGCUUCCAAGGACAGAUGCCCAUGUAGGUCAAGGGGAACAGCCACCUCCAGAUAAUCAGCAUUAACUGCUGGAGGAGGCUCACUCUCCUGAUGGUCCAAAAUCCACCCCUGUGGUCAGACCAGCUUAAGACUGAAUGCCAGCACUUCCCCCUGGGCACCUCAGAGAAGUGACCCUUUCUGUGCCUUAGUUUCUACAUCUGUAAAAUAGGGUGCUAACAGGACCAGCUUCAUUUGAGAUUUGAUGGAAAAACAUGUGCAAAAAGCCUAACAUGGACAUUCCCUGGUGGCUCAGUGGGUUAAGGACCUGGCAUUGUCACUGUCGUGGCACAGGUUUGAUUCCUGGCCCAGGAACUUCCUCAUGCCAAGGGUACAACCCCAAAAAAAAGCCUAACAUGCUACUUCUGGCUUAGGAAAACCCCCAAUAAAUACAACUGUUACC